CAUCAUUGUAUUUAUUUAUAUUUUUGUUAAAUAAUAUUAAUAUUUUCAUGCGAGCAUGAGUCGCUGGUGUAAAGAAACUACUACUUUAGCUAGUGCUUUUUACUUGCUCGCAGAAAAACGUGCUUUGCCCAAGCAUAACCCAAAUUUAAAAAACCCGAGUUUGCGGUGCAUAUUAUUUUCGUGAAGCUGACAGUUUAAACCCUCUUAACUAGCUAAGUUUAGUAUUUGCGAAUAUGGCUAACCCAGCAUUCCAUUUUCAGAAACAAAAUGGCCUCUUAUGCUCAACACGUGUUUUCUGGCAGAGUUGGAGAGAGACAGACGGUAAGAAUUCGUUCCAAAUCCCAAAUUAGCCCUUCUCAGUUAUCUGAUGAUUUAUAAUUCUAUUUUCUGACAUCUCUUAUGAACCGUUGUGAUUCAAAUCAGUUAUAACUAAUUCUGACACAUUCGACUCUCAACUAAAUAUAAUUUUUACUUGUGGCCGUGACUUAUGAGAACUCAUCUAUUACUUGCAGAUCGGUCUUUCGAUUUGGAUUCGGAAUAUAAAUGAGGUUAUCAGCGUGAAAUGGUAAUUAUUCUCUUCAUUUAUGAAAACUACUUAAAAUUUCGUGAUGAAUGACCCUAUCAUCAUCUUUCGACUGAAAAUCAUUUUGAUGCUAUACUAGUUUUCACUGAAUUUUAAACGCUUUAAAAAAACCUGUUAAAAAGAUUGUUACAUUUGAAUAACACAAAUAUAUUUUAAUUUCAGUUCAUUGCAACGUCAAUAUCAUGUAUCAAACGUGGCUCACUAACACAGUGAAAAAGGUAAUAAUUCGGUUUAAGAUAAUAAAAAAAUUUAGUUUAAAUUUUAUGUGUAAAUUGGACAAUUAAUUGUGUUGUGAUGAAUGAAACUUACACCAUCUUUCGACUGAAAAAUGUUAUGAAGCUAUACGAGUUUUUACUGAAACCCCUUCAUUUUAUUAUUUUUGUGUUUUAUAAGUUUUUUAGAAAAUCGGUUGCUGCUCUUUAUAACCAUUUAAUUUUUGUCAUUUUGCAGUGUUCAAGAAAACCACCUUUGAUUGUCGCGUCAUAUGCCCAAACAAGGAUCUCUCCUUUGAAAAGGUAAAUUAUACUCUAGAACGAAAUAAUAUGUAAAUGAUGCUUUUAAAAUUUCUGACAUCUCUAAUGAACCGUUGUGAUUCAAAUUUUUCUAAUAUAAUUAACUGAUCAUUUUAAAAUCGCUUAAACGAUUGAGUUAUAUUUGAAUAACUACUUAUUUGUAUUGUUUUUGAUUUUUUUUUUUUUUUUACAGAUGUGAAACAUGCGUAGCAAAAUGAAUCCGUCAAUGGUUCAUUUAUAAAUUCCAAUAUCUAAAAAGGUUAGUACGAAAAGAGAUUCUGUUUAGCGGAAAUGAAGAUUUCAAUGAUGAUCACUUAAACCAUUCACAGACACCAUAUAAAGGUCAAGCGCUGGCAAUCUUCUUCAAUAUUCUUUUGGAGAUAGAGCGUCUUGUUUGACUGGUUAUGGGCCCUGGUUAAAAACUUGGCACUGAGCUUCAUAAUGCAUUCUAGUAUUAAUGAAAUUAGCCUGCGAAACCAAACUUAUCGUUCCUGUUGUUAUCUUUUCAGGUUGGCAACCUUGGAUGAACACAAUUUGUAUCUUGUGGAAUCACGAAUAAAUAAAAUUCAUAUGUGUUCUUAAAAAUCGUUUUUUACUAAGUUUGCUCGCUCCCGCAAUGCUAGUUCCUGGUUCUGCU
RNAcentral lists this small nucleolar RNA (1732 nucleotides) under Drosophila melanogaster (fruit fly). Lineage: Eukaryota; Metazoa; Arthropoda; Insecta; Diptera; Drosophilidae. The record is from RNAcentral.